GAGAGUUUGAUCCUGGCUCAGAUUGAACGCUGGCGGCAGGCCUAACACAUGCAAGUCGAACGGUAACAGGAAGCAGCUUGCUGCUUUGCUGACGAGUGGCGGACGGGUGAGUAAUGUCUGGGAAACUGCCUGAUGGAGGGGGAUAACUACUGGAAACGGUAGCUAAUACCGCAUAACGUCGCAAGACCAAAGAGGGGGACCUUCGGGCCUCUUGCCAUCGGAUGUGCCCAGAUGGGAUUAGCUAGUAGGUGGGGUAACGGCUCACCUAGGCGACGAUCCCUAGCUGGUCUGAGAGGAUGACCAGCCACACUGGAACUGAGACACGGUCCAGACUCCUACGGGAGGCAGCAGUGGGGAAUAUUGCACAAUGGGCGCAAGCCUGAUGCAGCCAUGCCGCGUGUAUGAAGAAGGCCUUCGGGUUGUAAAGUACUUUCAGCGGGGAGGAAGGGAGUAAAGUUAAUACCUUUGCUCAUUGACGUUACCCGCAGAAG
RNAcentral lists this ribosomal RNA (491 nucleotides) under Escherichia coli. RNAcentral's name for it is "bacterial SSU rRNA". It matches the Rfam family "Bacterial small subunit ribosomal RNA", at positions 7 to 487 of the family's 1533-position model. Lineage: Bacteria; Pseudomonadati; Pseudomonadota; Gammaproteobacteria; Enterobacterales; Enterobacteriaceae. The record is from RNAcentral.